UUUAUCGCGAAGAACCUUACCAAGUCUUGACAUCCUUCUGACCGUCCUUUAACAGGGGCUUCUCUUCGGGGCAGGAGAGACAGGUGGUGCAUGGUUGUGGUCAGCUCGUGUCGUGAGAUGUUGGGUUAAGUCCCGCAACGAGCGCAACCCCUAUCUUUAGUAGCCAGCGGUUUGGCUGGGCACUCUAGGGAGACUGCCAGGGAUAACCUGGAGGAAGGCGGGGAUGACGUCAAAUCAUCAUGCCCCUUAUGACUUGGGCUACACACGUGCUACAAUGGCGUAAACAAAGGGAAGCAAAGCCGUGAGGCGGAGCAAAUCUCAAAAAUAACGUCUCAGUUCGGAUUGUAGUCUGCAACUCGCACUUACCAAAUGGA
RNAcentral lists this ribosomal RNA (374 nucleotides) under uncultured bacterium. RNAcentral describes it as "bacterial SSU rRNA". It matches the Rfam family "Bacterial small subunit ribosomal RNA", at positions 955 to 1325 of the family's 1533-position model. The record is from RNAcentral.